RNAcentral lists this transfer RNA (87 nucleotides) under Nevskia sp. Its description in RNAcentral is "tRNA-Leu". It matches the Rfam family "tRNA". Rfam says of the family: Transfer RNA (tRNA) molecules are approximately 80 nucleotides in length. Their secondary structure includes four short double-helical elements and three loops (D, anti-codon, and T loops). Lineage: Bacteria; Pseudomonadati; Pseudomonadota; Gammaproteobacteria; Nevskiales; Nevskiaceae. The record is from RNAcentral.
GCCCGAAUGGCGGAAUCGGUAGACGCAAGGGACUUAAAAUUCCUCGACCGCUAGGUCGUGCCGGUUCGAGUCCGGCUUCGGGCACCA